GGCUUUCUGGGUUCGAUUUCUGGGUUCAAGGCUUAAAGGUCGGUGAUUCUUCAACCACGAAGCUUGGUGAUUCACUGAUUCUUCAAGCUCAAUUUCUGGGAAUUCUGGGUUCGAUUUCUGGGUUUAAGGCUUGAAGCUCGGUUCAACCUCGAAACUUGGUGAUUCUUCAUGCUUGAUUUCUGGGUUCAAAAUUCAAACUCGGUGAUUGACUGAUAGUUGAAGCUCGAUUUCUGAGUUUUGGAUUCUGCAAGCUCGGUGAUUUCUGGGUUUUGUGGUGAGUCAUUGUCUCAACUCUCAAAGUAUCAAACUGUGAUUCUGUGAAUGUUAUAAACUGUGAAUGUUAUCAAACUGUGAUCAGAGCAGAUGA
This 367-nucleotide long non-coding RNA is filed under the name Rosa chinensis. RNAcentral describes it as "sRNA RchiOBHm_Chr5g0073361". Lineage: Eukaryota; Viridiplantae; Streptophyta; Magnoliopsida; Rosales; Rosaceae. The record is from RNAcentral.